Long non-coding RNA from Gallus gallus (chicken), 1713 nucleotides. The record is from Ensembl. NCBI's taxonomy places the organism in Eukaryota, Metazoa, Chordata, Aves, Galliformes, Phasianidae.
AUUAAUUAAAUAAGAACUCUUCUGCUUUCUCUAUCUUCUUAUCAUCUAUGCAUGCAGAAUAAUUUUCUGGAAAGCAAAGAGCUACGGUACCACAUACCAGAAAAACAGCUUUCUCUUUUGAAGGAAAGCACAGUGAUACUGCUGAUGAAGCACUGAAGGAAUAUUUCAGGAAAAGUACCGUUGGAUUUACUGCAUGGUAACGCACAUCUGAUUUUCAUAUGAAAUACAAAAUAAACCAAAGCUCUGUUCGUUCAGCAAAGACAACAGGAAAGCAGCGGAGCAGCAGGGGCUCAGGGAUGCUACGAUCCCAAAGCUGGGGCAUGGAGGGCUGGCCCAUCUCUCUGCUUAGCACCAACACAGCAUGUCUUUAUUCCUGCACUACAACAGAUCAGCUAGCGUUUUCUGUGAAAAAAAAACAACAUACCUUGCCAUGCUCACAGAGCUGGGAGGAGAUUGCUUUCCAUUACAUUUAGUAAGAUACCAUCUGAGCACCGAAAAUGAGAAGUAUAUAAACUUACCACUGCAUUAUCAGGAAAAGCAUCAGAAAUCAAGCUUAGGUGUUGCUGAGCAGUCAGCACCUCAGCUCCUUCCUGGCACAAAAUCCAUGCAGCAUGCAGCAGGUACCAGAAGCACCUCUCCUGUGCUAGUCCUACCCGUAUGCUCACAGAUGUCUUCUGAAUCUGCCACCAACAAAAGAAACCACAAUAAGACUGUUUCCCUGAUUCUUCAUAACUGAGUCAGUAGGUCAACAAUUCCUUCGGUUUAGGAGCCAAACCAAUUCCCUUAAACACCCCCCCCUUUUUUUUUUUUCUUCCCUGAUGGAGAAGCCAACUGUCUGCUGCCAGUGGCAGCUCAGCUGCUCACAGAACAGAACCAAACUGCUCCAACAAACCAGCUUGCCCUGGCGCAGACGUUCAUCCUGACACAGCUCCAUUUUGUCUCUCACGUCUGGGAGAAGCCACGAGCAAUUACUUACGUUUUCAGAUCGAGCCACAGGCAGGGAAGUGCCCCGCGUGCACCUUGCGUGCUGCCGCCAGCUCCUGCAGCCCACGUCCUCGCUGUCCAUGGCACCACGCGGCGGCACGAGGAAGGGAGCGUCACCGAACGCCAGACCUGCUCCCGCUCCAUCCUCCUCCACACCAACGCAGAAUAUCCUGCCUGUGCCUCUCAUGCGCUCUGCUCGAACAAAGAGAAAGCUCGGAAGCUGCUCUCCUUCUUCCCGAUCCAUGACUCAAAUGUCUGGUUGAAAUUGGUUUCGUAAUAACCCUUUAGUACCACCUACUCACAUCACCAAGUGCUUCUUUCAGCAAACGCGCAGGAAAUCACCAAUGAGUGCCAAUGGAGCUACUAUUCCAAGAACUCGCUCUUUCGGUUAUUCCUCCAUCAUUUGGAAACCAAGACACUUUUACUUUCCCUAUCACACCGGGUAUUUUUUAUAGAAGAGCCUUUAACUGCGAUCCCGUAAAAUACUUGGUUGAUAAAUCACCAGCUGAAAACUCGCCCACUGUAAAGAAAAGAAUUUCACAACACUCAUUCCAGAAAAUACAGUAACUCCUUUCUGGAAAUAAUUCACCGGACAAAAAUCAAAAGGGCAGAAUUAAUGUUUGGAGACCGUUUGCAUCCUGCACAGCAGACAAAGACGGUGCAGCAAGCCACGUGCCUCUGUGACCAUCACCAGCAGACCCCUGAAUCACCCAACCACACGAUGAGUCG